AACGAACGCUGGCGGCAUGCCUAACACAUGCAAGUCGAACGAGACCUUCGUGUCUAGUGGCGCACGGGUUCGUAACGCGUUGGAACCUGCCCUUAGGUUCGGAAUAACUCCCCGAAAUGGGUGCUAAUACCGGUUAAUUUCUUCUGACCAAAGAUUUAUCGCCUUUGGAUGUUCCCGCGUUGGAUUAGCUAGUUGUUAGGGUAAAAGCCUACCAAGGCGACUAUCCAUAGCUGGUCUGAGAGGAUGAUCAGCCACACUGGGACUGAGACACGGCACAGACUCCUACGGGAAGCAGCAGUGGGGAAUAUUGGACAAUGGGCGAAAGCCUGAUCCAGCAAUGCCGCGUGAGUGAUGAAGGACUUAGGGUUGUAAAGCUGUUUUAAACGGGAUGAUAAUGACAGUACCGGGAGAAUAAGCGCCGGCUAACUCCGUG
This 433-nucleotide ribosomal RNA is filed under the name uncultured bacterium. RNAcentral describes it as "partial 16S ribosomal RNA". It matches the Rfam family "Bacterial small subunit ribosomal RNA", at positions 29 to 507 of the family's 1533-position model. The record is from RNAcentral.